CGUCCUUCCCCUCGGGCCUGGCAUCCUCCGCCCGAGGGCAGGACCACCCCAUCCCGUGUGUCCCCGGGCCGUCCACAGCCUCUCUCCCCAGAGCCUAGACCACCUGGACACCCCGCCCCGGGCAUCGGGCGCGGGCCCACCUGUGCGAGGUGAGCACCACGGAGCGGCCCUCCCGCACCACGGCCAGGAGGCUGUUCCAGAGGAAGCGCCGCGUGCCGGGGUCCAUGCCGGUGGUCGGCUCAUCCUGGGGUGCGGGAGACGCUUAAGCCAGGCCCCGCCCCAGCCCGGCCCGGCCCGGCCCUCGUCCCAGCCCCGCCCCACGCACCAGAAAGACCACGGCCGGGUCCCCCACCAGCGCCACGGCCGUCGCCAGCUUCCGCUUGUUGCCGCCGCUGUAGGUGCCCGCGGGCCGGUCCGCGUACUGCGGGAGCCCCAGGCGCGCCAGGCCCAAGCUCGCCGUCUGCGGGGCGGGCCGGAGUCGGGGGGACACCGGAGUGAAUAGGAGCAUGGGGGGGCGGAGUGAGCCCGGCGGGGGCCCGAAUGAGAGUGGGGGGACCGAAUGAGGGGGGAGGUGGGCCAGGGGGAGCAUGGCGGGGCACAGUGUGGGGUGGGGGCCGGACUGACUAAAGGGUGCACUGGGGGCCAGAGCGAGCAUGGGGCGGGGCCCGGUGAGUGGGAGGGGCCGGGGCGAGGAUGCAGGUGGGGAAAGGGGCGGGGCUCAGGGAGGGGAGCCGCACCUGGCGCAGGCGCAGGAAGGCGCGAAGCGGGAGGUGGAGUCACGGUGAGCGGGCGGGGCCACGGCCGGGAGGAGAGGAGGGGAGGGGUGGCCCCCGAAGCAGGGCGGGGGUCAGGGUGCGGCCAGGAGGACGGCGGGGAGCUGGGGACCCCCGCGAGGGUGGGAGCCGGGGAGGGCGGGGGCGUGGCCCAGCAGAGCCCAAGUGGGUGGCGGGUCACCUGGGCGACCUGCGCCUCGGGGACGCCGCGCAGGCGCGCGAACAGCUCCAGGUGCUCCCGGCCGGUCAGCAGCUCGAAGACGGCGUCCGACUGCGGGCAGUAGCCCAUGCGGCGGUGCGCGGCGGCCGGCUCCUGGGCCACGCUGGGGUCGGGGCGCAGGCGGCUCAGGGCACGGGCCAGGCCCCGGCCAGGCUGGAGGCCCCCCACCCUGGAGCCCCUGGUAAGGGACAGGGGGUGUGUACCAGGCCCCAUCCACCUGCAGGGGCUGGGCCCGCGCGCGCUCGCAGAGCCCCCUCACCUGUGGCCGGCCAGCACGGCCUCGCCCCCGCUGGGCAGCAUGUCCCCGGUCACCAUGCGAAACGUGGAGGUUUUCCCGGCUCCGUUCACGCCCAGCAGCCCGAAACACUGCGGGUUCACCGCGCACGGCGCUCAGCAAGGCCCCGCGCCAGCCCGGGGCCUCGGGUUCCCAGGGUGGGUCCUCAGUUUCCCCGUGAAGGGCUGUGGACAAGGGGGCCCCGAGGGGCAGAUACCGGGAGCGUGUGGGGAGGCAUAAAGCUGUCCCUUAGCAGGAACGGCCCCUGCCACUCGGUGGGCACUCGGGCAGGGUGCACAGUCAGCCUGAGUUGGAGUGCUGGCUGGCACAUAGUAGGCACCUGAUAAAGAGUGACUGCCACUUACGCCGACACGCCACGUGUUUGCAGGUGUCACAGGUACCGGCCCCAAGAGGCUGCCACUAACUGGCACACAGAAAUUAAGUCUGCACAUAGUAGGCGCUUGAGUGUGAACUGGGACAAAGCGGGUGCGUGAUAGAUACUGGCUGUGAGCAAGUGCUUGAAACGGAUGUGUAUACAAUAGGGGCUCCAUAAAUGCUGUUGGCGCGUGAUAAAAGUUGAUCAUCACAGAUGUGGCAUUUGAUACGCCUUUGGUGCGCACAGUGGGUGCUCAGUAAAAGGUCGCAGGCGCACAGCAGUUGCUCAAUAAAGGGCAGGAGACUCAUAGUAAAUGUCCAAGAAAGGGUGGUAGGCACACAGAGGUGCUGAAUAAAGGCAGUGGGUGCGCAGUAGGGCAGCCUCUCGCUGCCCCUGCACCGGGACCUCCUCUCUGACUUACCUCACCGGGGGGGAUCCCCAGGCACAGGCGGUCAACAGCGGGUGUCCUCUGCCUGGGGUACACCUGAGGGGGAGCAGGUCCCUGAGAAAAGUGGCUGGGCUGGCGGGAGCCCCCCACCCACGCGCCCCUUGGCGGCACCCACCUUGGUCAGGUCCCGCAGCACCAAUAUGUCCCCCUCGGUGGCCCCUCGGACCACCCGCUCCCGCUCGCGGGCCACGUCCUCGUCCUCCUCCCCCAGGGGCGGCAGUGGCUUCAGCUUGGGUCUGAGGACAGAGACACAAGUGGGCCCCAAGCCGGCCCGCGGCCCCUGCCACCCUAUCCCGGGCCCCACUGACCUUGACAGGAGGCGGUUCCGGUGCUGGAGCAGGAGUGUGAAGAGGAGGAAGAGGGGCCCCUGCACCACCAUGGCCAAGAGGUUCUUGCCGACCACCUCCCAGCGCAGGGGCGACUGGAAAUCCCCAUUUCCUGUGGGGACAGGAAGGAGGGGCUGGCUCCUUGGAGGAUCUUGGUUACUGGACCCUUCCCCAUCCUAGAAACCUUGAGUUCUUACAGGAAAGGACCAAGAACUGGAUAGGCCACUCAACUGAGGUCUAAUUGGUAUAGAAAAACAGUGAUAUCACCACCUCCCUUAUUUAGGGCCUUAGACCCCUUGUGAUGUGACCCAAGAUAGAAUUAGCUUUUAUGGCUGCUUUGCUGCACCUCGAACGUGGCCCGACUCUGGGGCCAGCCGAGACCUUCAGUUUUAUUCCCGGGGGGCUGCUGCUUGUCCCCACCCUGUAUCAUCCCCUCUUGGCCGGCCCUUCUCCACCUGGAAGGAAGUUCUCACCAAAGCGCUCGAAGGCGUCGGCCAUGGCCUGGUUCCGCACCAUGUCGAUGAGCCCCCGGCCCAGGCAGAAGUGGGGGAAGAUGAGGAAGACUCGUUUCAGGAUCCGGCUCACGUCCUGCAGCUUCUGCUCCGGGAACAGGAGGCGGGAGGUGGGUCCGGGGCGAGGCCAACACCCCAGCCGCAGCCCCCGCCCCCCCGCGCCGCACCGGGCCUCCCCCCACGCCCCCCAGCCCGGCCCACCUCAUCGGAGAAGAGCUCGAGCACGAAGGUGGCCAUGCUGCCGUUGAUGCCGAUGAAGAGGUUGACGCAGGUGAGCAGCACGUACGCCGUGCUGGGCACGGAGAAGCAGAAGGAAGCCGGGUACAUGAGCGGCGUGAUCGACCAGCUGGGGGCAAUGGGAGUCGCCAGGUGACCAGCCGGACGGGGGGCUCAGUGGCCCCGAGGGGACGAGUGCGGGUCCCUCCCGUCCUCGCUGCUCGGGCUCUGGAGACGGGAGUCCGCACGAGCUGAGCUCGAAGGCCAUUUGGGCAUCCCGUGGAGUGAGGUCACAGCUGCGGUCACCUCCGGCCUUGGGACCUGCUCUGGCGUCCCAGCUCCCCACUGGGGAUCGGGCAGGGCACGGGGCCUGGGGGGCCCUGGGGGGCUCUGGGGGGCCGGGGGUCUCACCCGUACAGUAAGAGCAGCAGCAGGAGGGCGGGCAGGUUGGCGGGUGCCACGUAUGCCUUCUGCUGGAAGGCCAGGAAGAUGAGCACCACGAUGCACGCCGGCACCAAGUAGUUACACUGCGGUGGAGACGGCAGGGACCCCCCGUCAGCGUGCACGGGGCGGGAUGCCCCAUCUCCCGCCAUUCCCGAGACGUCCCCGCCCCCCAGGGCCAGUCCCUGCCCGGAAGGGGCCAGAAGGGGCAGUGGCGAGCGGUGGCCGGGCCCCCACCCCUCCGGGCCGUCCGCGCACCAUGUCCCAGAGGAAGUUGCUGAGCCAGUAGAGAGUGGGGGGCAGGCCCCCCAUGAACUGCAGGUGUUUGGCUCCCGUGACGCGCUCCUCGAUGAGGACGAGAGUGAAGCUGGCCGGGAUGAAAGACAUGGCGAAGACCACACAGAUGGACACGAGCACGUCCACUGAGGAGGCCAUCCUGGGGGGGAGGGCGCGUGCCACUGACCGGUCUACAGGGCGGCCCACGGGGGUGGGGACAUGGCCCGGGACGUUCGGGGGGACGCGGGCGGCGGCUGGCAAGGAGAGGUCGCAUGGGUCUCUGACGAGGACAUGCGGGCCGUCGGGGGAGAGCGGAGCCCCGCUGGGCCCGGUGACGUCCCGUGACCCCGGCUUAGUGGACAGAGACGGGUUCUUGUUCCCCCAUUCACACAGUGGAGCGUGACGGAGGGCAAAUCCAGCCCGCAUCCCCCGAGACGACGGAGAAACUGAGGCAGCGGAGCCCACACAGGGCUGAGGGACUCACAUCGUGGCCUCGGACAGCUGCUCCUUGGUGAGGUUCAGAGGGUGAUUCAGCGUGGUGAUGCUGUGGGCGCGGCGGGCGGGGCCCCGGGGCAGGCGGGCGCGUAGAAGUGCGUUGUUGGCCCGGUUGACGAAGGCCACCAUGGCAUGCCAGCCCUUGUUGUUGAACCAGAUCUGGGGUGGGGUCAGGGCCCAGGGGUCAGGGUGACGGGGUCCGACCUGCCCCCACCACCCGCCCGCCCGCCACCCCCCGGCUCCCACCUUGAGGCUGUCCUGCGCAUCCAGGCCGCGAGCCCACACCGUGAGGUUGUUCAGGAGGCGGUCAAGGGCCCCGCCGGGCUGGGGACUCAACAGCGCCCGCAGCUCCUCCACCGAGCGGCCCACCUCGUGCCCCGAGGGCAGGCUGGGGUCUCGGCCCCCGAGGGAGAAGCCCCCGUACCUGUGGGUCAGUGGGGGCAUGGCGGGCGGCUGACGGCCGUGGUCAUGGGGCGAGCCCCCCGGCGGGCGGGCAGGGGCUGCAGCCAGGGGCCUGGGGUCGGGGGGCCCCCUCCUCACCUGAUCUCGUUCACCCACUUCUUGGUCUUCAAGCUACAGGGAAGAUGGACGGACAAACAGACACAUAGGGAGGACAGGGACGUGAGGGGGACGGACAGAGAUGACAGGGGGGCAGUAGGAUUGUAAAGACGGGAGGCGCAGGGGGCACUCAGGGACCCUCCGGCCCGCCCGCUGAGACCCCCGACCCGCACGGCUCACCCCUGGUGCACCAGGCGCGGGUAGGUCUUGACCAGGAAGUCGGACAGGUUGCGGCCGGUGAGGUUCUGCACCAGCUCCCCGGAGCUGCCAGGGGCCUGGGGCGGCGGGGGGCCGCCAGCCGCGGCGGGGCAGGCGGGCAGCAGGCGCCGGGCGCCGGGCCGGCUGCACUGGCAGGCCGGGGAGGGGGACCCCGGGGUCCAGUUGCCGCUGGCCAAGACCGCGGCCACGUCCGGGGGGACCUCGGGCACCGAGAACCUGUGGGGGGUGGGGGGCGGGGCUGUGGGCUGCAGGCCGGGGAGGCUCCGGGGACCCCCCCGAGGCCCACAGGCAGGGCGCUGAGGGGGAAACCGAGGCCGGCCCUCACCCAUGGGAGCCGUUCUUCUGGGCCGGCUCCUGCACUCCUGCCUCCUCCAGCAGCGCCUCCAGCAGGCGGGUGCGCUCGGGGUCCCCAGGGGCGUCCUCGCUGUGGGUGGGGGGCGGGGUCAGCGCUGCGUCCCCAGCCCCUGGCCCUCCCGCCACCCCCACCACCCGCACCCACCUGAAGAAGGAAACCUGGGCCCCGUACAUGGUGGGGCUGAGCCGCAGGGCCGGGUAGUGUCCGAACGGCGGCACGAUGAGGCUGAACGCCAGCGCCAGCCCCACAAACAGGGCCGGCAACACCAUCUGGAGGACCGGCCGUCAGCUGCCCUCCCGCCCCUGCUCUACAAUCAUCCCUGGCUCCCCAGUGCUCCCACUGCAGAUGUUCAGAGUAGGGACUUGCCCGGGGUCAGGUGGCUGAGUUAGGCCACCUGAGUGGAGGCAGGCACCCAUGUCCCCCCGCAUCCCCCGGGGCCCCCGCACCUGGGCGAACAGGCCACAGUGGCUGCGGCUGGCCAGCAGCAAGCGCUUCAGGAGCAGGGCCCGGAGCUGUUGGCGGGCCAGCGUCCAGCCCUCCACACGGCCUGCGGCGGCCGGCCCGGAGCCCCGCAGGGCCUGUGUCUCUGGGGCCAAGCCAGCUGCAGGGGGCUGACCCCUCCGGCAGGAUCUUGAGCUGAGUGUCUGCGUCCAGGGGAGCAAUGUCCGUGCCCAGGGGCUGCCUGCGGCCACCAUCUGUGGAGCCACCGGGGGGCCAGGGUCAGGGGCCACCGUUCAGCCUGGGGUCUGGGUCAAGGCCAAAGGUCACAGAUGCAGGGCUCAGGGGUCAGGGAUGGAGGUCAGGGCUGCGCAUUGGGCCAGACUCAGCGAGGGAUGAGCACUUGGUCUGAAGCCAGGGCCAACUCUGGACCAGGGUUAGGGGUCGAGGACAGGGGCCUGCGGCCACACCUUUUGGGUCCGAGUCCCCAGCACAGUCCUCCAUCACCUUCAGGAAGAUCUGGAGAGACCAAAUGGGGGCUCAGACGCUGUGUGUCCCCCAGGCCUCCCCAAGGGACUCAGAGCCGCCCCUCCCUGGGCUGCCCUGCUGUCAGGAAGCAGAGCCCUCCUCCACCUCCAGGCAGGCCUCCCCCCUCCGGCAGCCGCACCUCCUCCAGGCCGGUGUCAGAGAUCCCGUAGCCGGUCAGCCCCAGCUCCCCCAGCCGCAGGUCCAGGUCGCGGAAGAGCCCGGCGAAGCUGCCGUCCAGGGCGCCCUCGUAGGGCAGCGCCAGCACCAGCUCGUGCGGCAGCUCCUCCACCAGCCGCGCCCCGGGCACGUGGCUCUGCACCAGGGCCAGCAGCCGGGGCGCAGCCGGGGGUGCAGCGGGGGGCGGUGGGGCCCAGCCUCCCUGGAGUAGGGGCUUGGUCACCCAGGAGGUGCCCAUCCCUGUGGGCAGAGGGGGUCAGGGUUAAGCACCCGACAGCAGGACUUGGCCGGGGGUCAGCAUGGAGUCCACCUAAGGUCAGAGGUCACAGGGAGGUUUGUGUGCGGGCUCAGCCCAGGUGAGGUUAAAGGCAGGGGCUGGAGUCAGGCUCACCCGGGGUCAGGGGUCAGUCUGGGGUCGUGAGGCCCUGUUGCCACUGCCCCCACCAGCCCUCCCUUUGGCUCUCCCUCCCCAGCCCUCACCGGCCGUGCCACCCGGCUCCUCCUGCCUCCUGUCUUCCAAGUCGGCAUCACCCUGCGGGCCGAGGGACACCGACUGCCAUGGCCAUCGGGGCUGGACAUAGCCUUGGGGGGUCAGGGGUCAGUCCGGCCCUCACCUUCUUGCUGGUGGCCAGGGGCGGGGGACCUUUGACCAGUGUCAGGUAGUAGCCAGAGCCGAAGUGACGCCGUAGGAAGAGCAGGGAGCCACAGCAGCACAAGCGGCCGGCCGCCACCACCGCCACGCGGUCUCCCAGGAGCUCCGCCUCAUCCAGGUGAUGUGUGGAGAGGAUCAGUGUGCGCCCUGGUCACGGGGACCCAACCCACGUGGACCAUCAGGCCACCAGCUGUCUGCCUGAACUGUGCCCUCCACCGAGAAUUGCCUGCCUGUGCGGCAAACUCCUGCUCACCCCUCAAAACCCCACCUCCAGCACCUCCUCCUCAGGAACCUUGUCUCCUCCUUAGAAACCUUUUCUGGCCCCUCAAAUGGAACCCAGGGGAACCCUAGGCCACCCACAACUCUUACCUUCGCGGUAUUUGAGCAGCAGCUCCCAAAUACCGCGGCGAGAAGCAGGGUCCACGCCAGCGGUGGGCUCGUCCAGGAUAACGACCUGGGAGCCACCCACAAAGGCGAUGGCCACCGAAAGCUUCCGCUGCAUCCCACCUGGGAAGGGACGGGGGGGUCAGGAUGUCAGCAUGACCCCCAGCCCUGGUCAAGGCUGCGCGCCACUCCCCCCUCCCCGCCACUGCCCGUUGCUCACCCACCUUGACCUCAGCCCCCACGGGAUAAGGUCCCCGCCCCUCCCCAGGCCGGGCUCACCGGACAGGUGGCGCGUCUCCACACGCCGCUUGGGGACGAGCCCCGUGUCCUGCAGCAGCCGGUCCUGCUCGGGGCCCACGGCAGCCGCACUCAGACCCUUCAACCGCCCGUAGAACCAGAUGUGCUCGUCCACGGUCAUCCUGCGGCCACGGGCAAGGAACAGAGCGGCCAGCGUGGCAGGCAGGGUCCCCCAAGAACAGCCGGGCCUCCCACCGCCGCACCCCAGGGUCCCCCCAGGAC
Molecule: long non-coding RNA, 8187 nt
Filed under: Equus asinus (donkey)
Lineage: Eukaryota; Metazoa; Chordata; Mammalia; Perissodactyla; Equidae
Description: lncRNA (ENSEASG00005027158.1)
Source: RNAcentral